Molecule: long non-coding RNA, 686 nt
Filed under: Bemisia tabaci
Lineage: Eukaryota; Metazoa; Arthropoda; Insecta; Hemiptera; Aleyrodidae
Description: lncRNA ENSSSA1UGG010017
Source: RNAcentral
CGGGAAUCAGAUGUUCCGUCUGUGCUCGCUUUAGUAAACAACGCGGCCUCGCGUGAUUAUCAGCGCGUCUCUAAUUUCGGUGUUUUUUUCGUCUGCCAAUUCAUUCGGGGUGUUAGAAAAGUGCGAAUCUUUAACUCCUAUCAUCGUUGAGGGUCAAUCGGUGUAAUCGGAAAGUUCAGCACCUUUCUCAUCCGCGGAGUACACUGCGCAUGACGGAUUUCAAAGUUGCAAUGUUUCGGUUUUUCAAGAUCGAGAUCAACACUGUUGUUAAAGGUUUUAAGUGGUUACGUUAGUGUGGUGUUUGGAAUUAUUACGCUUCUCAUCGUCUCUUAUCGUCUUCAACACUUCAGAGAGGAUUUCUAAUCAAAGGUAAGAAACUCAUAAAAUUCUCCAAUUCUAUUACUUUUAAAUUGCUCAGAGGAAGGCUGGUAAGUCAAAUCAUCGCUUUUAUUUUAGUUUAGAGAGACUGAGACAUGAUACAACCCCGGAGAGUCUAGAUUUGUCAUUCACGAGAAAAAACAAGAAGAACAAUUGAGGAGCUUUCCGGAAAAAGGGCACAUAGCAAAAAAUUGCGUUUGAGAGAAAUGCAUUUGAAGAUUUGAUCAUUACUCUAUGGCCACUGACAGUGACUUUUGUUCGAAAUCGGGAGUUCAAGCUGCGAUGAAAGGUACCAUCAGUGGCCAGAA